Molecule: ribosomal RNA, 255 nt
Filed under: uncultured bacterium
Lineage: Bacteria
Description: partial 16S ribosomal RNA
Rfam family: Bacterial small subunit ribosomal RNA
Source: RNAcentral
UACGUAGGGUCCGAGCGUUGUCCGGAAUUAUUGGGCGUAAAGAGCUCGUAGGCGGUUUGUCGCGUCUGCUGUGAAAUCCCGAGGCUCAACCUCGGGCCUGCAGUGGGUACGGGCAGACUGGAGUGCGGUAGGGGGAGAAUGGAAUUCCUGGUGUAGCGGUGGAAUGCGCAGAUAUCAGGAGGAACACCGAUGGCGAAGGCAGUUCUCUGGGCCGUAACUGACGCUGAGGAGCGAAAGCGUGGGGGAGCGAACAGG